CCAAUAGCAUAUAUUAAAGUUGCUGCAGUUAAAAAGCUCGUAGUUGAAUUUCGGGACCGAUAUAUCGGUCGUGCCUCGGUACGUACUGGUAUUUUCGGUUUCUCCCUUCUGACGAACCUUGAUGUCAUUAAUUUGGUGUCUUGGGGAAUCAGGACUGUUACUUUGAAAAAAUUAGAGUGUUUAAAGCAGGCUCACGCUUGAAUACAUUAGCAUGGAAUAAUGAAAUAGGACGUUUGAUUCUAUUUUGUUGGUUUCUAGGAUCGACGUAAUGAUUAAUAGGGAUAGUUGGGGGCAUUAGUAUUCAAUUGUCAGAGGUGAAAUUCUUGGAUUUAUUGAAGACUAACUACUGCGAAAGCAUUUGCCAAGGAUGUUUUCAUUAAUCAAGAACGAAAGUUAGGGGAUCGAAGACGAUCAGAUACCGUCGUAGUCUUAACCAUAAACUAUGCCGACUAGGGAUCGGAUGAUGUUAAUUUUUUAAUGACUCAUUCGGCGCCUUACG
This 499-nucleotide ribosomal RNA is filed under the name uncultured Glomeromycotina. RNAcentral's name for it is "partial small subunit ribosomal RNA". It matches the Rfam family "Eukaryotic small subunit ribosomal RNA", at positions 591 to 1092 of the family's 1831-position model. Lineage: Eukaryota; Fungi; Glomeromycota. The record is from RNAcentral.